This 253-nucleotide ribosomal RNA is filed under the name uncultured bacterium. RNAcentral describes it as "partial 16S ribosomal RNA". It matches the Rfam family "Bacterial small subunit ribosomal RNA", at positions 524 to 776 of the family's 1533-position model. The record is from RNAcentral.
UACGUAGGGUGCGAGCGUUAAUCGGAAUUACUGGGCGUAAAGCGUGCGCAGGCGGUGCCAUAAGCUGGAGGUGAAAUCCCCGGGCUCAACCUGGGAAUGGCCUUCAGGACUGUGGCGCUGGAGUGCGGAAGAGGGGGGUGGAAUUCCAGGUGUAGCAGUGAAAUGCGUAGAGAUCUGGUGGAACACCAAUGGCGAAGGCAGCCCCCUGGGCCAGCACUGACGCUCAUGCACGAAAGCGUGGGGAGCAAACAGG